GAGGGUGUAGCUCAGUGGUAGAGCGCAUGAUUAGCGUACACAAGGUCAUGGGUUCAAUCCCCAGUGCCUCCA
RNAcentral lists this transfer RNA (72 nucleotides) under Camelus bactrianus (Bactrian camel). It matches the Rfam family "tRNA". From Rfam's summary of the family: Transfer RNA (tRNA) molecules are approximately 80 nucleotides in length. Their secondary structure includes four short double-helical elements and three loops (D, anti-codon, and T loops). Further hydrogen bonds mediate the characteristic L-shaped molecular structure. tRNAs have two regions of fundamental functional importance: the anti-codon, which is responsible for specific mRNA codon recognition, and the 3' end, to which the tRNAs corresponding amino acid is attached (by aminoacyl-tRNA synthetases). tRNAs cope with the degeneracy of the genetic code in two manners: having more than one tRNA (with a specific anti-codon) for a particular amino acid; and 'wobble' base-pairing, i.e. permitting non-standard base-pairing at the 3rd anti-codon position. Lineage: Eukaryota; Metazoa; Chordata; Mammalia; Artiodactyla; Camelidae. The record is from Rfam by way of RNAcentral. RNAcentral also lists the same sequence under 2 other names.